This 254-nucleotide ribosomal RNA is filed under the name uncultured bacterium. Its description in RNAcentral is "partial 16S ribosomal RNA". It matches the Rfam family "Bacterial small subunit ribosomal RNA", at positions 524 to 776 of the family's 1533-position model. The record is from RNAcentral.
UACGGGGGGAGCAAGCGUUGUUCGGAUUUACUGGGCGUAAAGGGCGCGUAGGCGGCCAGCACAAGUCAGUUGUGAAAUCUCCGAGCUUAACUCGGAAAGGUCAACUGAUACUGUGCGGCUAGAGUGCGGAAGGGGCAACUGGAAUUCUUGGUGUAGCGGUGAAAUGCGCAGAUAUCAGGAGGAACACCGGUGGCGAAGGCGGGUCUCUGGGCCGAUACUGACGCUGAGGAGCGAAAGCGUGGGGAGCGAACAGG